RNAcentral lists this ribosomal RNA (465 nucleotides) under Vreelandella stevensii. RNAcentral describes it as "partial 16S ribosomal RNA". It matches the Rfam family "Bacterial small subunit ribosomal RNA", at positions 338 to 795 of the family's 1533-position model. The record is from RNAcentral. Lineage: Bacteria; Pseudomonadati; Pseudomonadota; Gammaproteobacteria; Oceanospirillales; Halomonadaceae.
CCUACGGGAGGCAGCAGUGGGGAAUAUUGGACAAUGGGGGCAACCCUGAUCCAGCCAUGCCGCGUGUGUGAAGAAGGCCCUCGGGUUGUAAAGCACUUUCAGUGAGGAAGAACGCCUGGUGGUUAAUACCCAUCAGGAAAGACAUCACUCACAGAAGAAGCACCGGCUAACUCCGUGCCAGCAGCCGCGGUAAUACGGAGGGUGCGAGCGUUAAUCGGAAUUACUGGGCGUAAAGCGCGCGUAGGUGGCUUGAUAAGCCGGUUGUGAAAGCCCCGGGCUCAACCUAGGAACGGCAUCCGGAACUGUCAAGCUAGAGUGCAGGAGAGGAAGGUAGAAUUCCCGGUGUAGCGGUGAAAUGCGUAGAGAUCGGGAGGAAUACCAGUGGCGAAGGCGGCCUUCUGGACUGACACUGACACUGAGGUGCGAAAGCGUGGGUAGCAAACAGGAUUAGAUACCCUAGUAGUC